CCUACGGGGGGCAGCAGUGGGGGAUAUUGCACAAUGGGGGAAACCCUGAUGCAGCAACGCCGCGUGAGUGAAGAAGUAUUUCGGUAUGUAAAGCUCUAUCAGCAGGGAAGAGAAUGACGGUACCUGACUAAGAAGCCCCGGCUAACUACGUGCCAGCAGCCGCGGUAAUACGUAGGGGGCGAGCGUUAUCCGGAUUUACUGGGUGUAAAGGGAGCGUAGACGGCUGGUCAAGUCUGAAGUGAAAGCCCGGGGCUUAACCCCGGAACGGCUUUGGAAACUGAGCAGCGAGAGUGCGGGAGAGGUAAGCGGAAUUCCUAGUGUAGCGGUGAAAUGCGUAGAUAUUAGGAGGAACACCAGUGGCGAAGGCGGCUGACUGGACAGUAACUGACGUUGAGGCGCGAAAGCGUGGGGAGCAAACAGGAUUAGAUACCCUGGUAGUC
This 440-nucleotide ribosomal RNA is filed under the name uncultured bacterium. RNAcentral describes it as "partial 16S ribosomal RNA". It matches the Rfam family "Bacterial small subunit ribosomal RNA", at positions 338 to 795 of the family's 1533-position model. The record is from RNAcentral.